Molecule: non-coding RNA, 24 nt
Filed under: Arabidopsis thaliana (thale cress)
Lineage: Eukaryota; Viridiplantae; Streptophyta; Magnoliopsida; Brassicales; Brassicaceae
Source: RNAcentral
UGCGGAAAAGUUGUCGACGGUGAC